Molecule: ribosomal RNA, 465 nt
Filed under: uncultured bacterium
Lineage: Bacteria
Description: partial 16S ribosomal RNA
Rfam family: Bacterial small subunit ribosomal RNA
Source: RNAcentral
CCUACGGGUGGCAGCAGUGGGGAAUAUUGGGCAAUGGGCGAAAGCCUGACGCAGCGACGCCGCGUGAGGGAUGAAGGUCUUCGGAGCGGAAACCUCUGUCCGCAGGGAAGAACGGUCACUGUGCUAAUCAGCAGUGAAUUGACGGUACCUGCAAAGGAAGCACCGGCUAACGCCGUGCCAGCAGCCGCGGUAAUACGGAGGGUGCGUGCGUUAGUCGGAAUUACUGGGCGUAAAGCGCUCGUAGGCGGUAUGUCAAGUCAGGGGUGAAAGCCCCGCGCUCAACGUGGGAACUGCCUUUGAAACUGGCAAACUGGAGUGUGGGAGAGGAUAGUGGAAUUCCAGGUGUAGGAGUGAAAUCCGUAGAUAUCUGGAGGAACAUCAGUGGCGAAGGCGACUAUCUGGCACAUAACUGACGCUGAGGAGCGAAAGCGUGGGUAGCAAACAGGAUUAGAUACCCGGGUAGUC